This 98-nucleotide small nuclear RNA is filed under the name Saimiri boliviensis boliviensis (Bolivian squirrel monkey). Lineage: Eukaryota; Metazoa; Chordata; Mammalia; Primates; Cebidae. The record is from RNAcentral.
GUGAUCACUUCCACAGCACAUAUACUAAAAUUGGAACGAUACAGAGAAGAUUAGCAUGGCUCCUGCGCAAGGAUGACAUGUAAAAUAAAAAAAUUUUU